GUCAUAUUCUCUGAUGAGUCCAAAUUUGCUGUAUUUUCUGACAGUGAUCGGAUGUGUGUCUGGAGACUCUGUGAUCAAAAAUUUCACGCGAAAAGAUUGCAGCCAAUAAUGAAACACGACCGCUAUUCUGUGAUGGUCUGGGGAGACCG
Molecule: long non-coding RNA, 149 nt
Organism: Octopus sinensis (East Asian common octopus)
Lineage: Eukaryota; Metazoa; Mollusca; Cephalopoda; Octopoda; Octopodidae
Exons: 3
Source: RefSeq, a predicted model, not a curated record